RNAcentral lists this transfer RNA (74 nucleotides) under Bacteroidota bacterium. Its description in RNAcentral is "tRNA-Arg". It matches the Rfam family "tRNA". Rfam says of the family: Transfer RNA (tRNA) molecules are approximately 80 nucleotides in length. The record is from RNAcentral. Lineage: Bacteria; Pseudomonadati; Bacteroidota. RNAcentral also lists the same sequence under 1 other name.
GGCUCAGUAGUUCAAUUGGAUAGAACACCAGACUUCGGAUCUGGUUGUUGGGGGUUCGAGUCCUCCCUGAGUCA